UGGAGUAACGCCGCGUGGUGACGAAGGUUUCGGAUCGUAAAGCCCUUUUCUGGGGAACGAUAAUGACGGUCCCUCAGGAAGAAGCCUCCGGCUAACUACGUGC
RNAcentral lists this ribosomal RNA (103 nucleotides) under uncultured bacterium. Its description in RNAcentral is "partial 16S ribosomal RNA". The record is from RNAcentral.